This 406-nucleotide ribosomal RNA is filed under the name uncultured bacterium. Its description in RNAcentral is "partial 16S ribosomal RNA". It matches the Rfam family "Bacterial small subunit ribosomal RNA", at positions 30 to 526 of the family's 1533-position model. The record is from RNAcentral.
AUUGAACGCUGGCGGCAGGCCUAACACAUGCAAGUCGAACGCGUGGCGGACGGGUGAGUAAUGUCUGGGAAACUGCCUGAUGUCGGGGGAUAACUACUGUAAACAGUAGCUAAUACCGCAUACCAUCCGAUGUUCCCAGAUGGGAUUAGCUGGUUGGUGGGGUAACGGCUCACCAAGGCGCCGAUCCCUAGCUGGUCUGAGAGGAUGACCAGCCACACUGGAACUGAGACACGGUCCAGACUCCUACGGGAGGCAGCAGUGGGGAAUAUUGCACAAUGGGCGAAAGCCGGAUGCAGCCAUGCCGCGUGUAUGAAGAAGGCCUUCGGGUUGUAAAGUACUUUCAGCGGGGAGGCGUUACCCGCAGAAGAAGCACCGGCUAACUCCGUGCCAGCAGCCGCGGUAAUAC